AUUGAACGCUGGCGGCAUGCCCUACACAUGCAAGUCGAACGGCAGCACGGGUGCUUGCACCUGGUGGCGAGUGGCGAACGGGUGAGUAAUACAUCGGAACGUACCUUAUCGUGGGGGAUAACGCAGCGAAAGCUGUGCUAAUACCGCAUAAGCCCUGAGGGGGAAAGCGGGGGAUCGAAAGACCUCGCGCGAUUAGAGCGGCCGAUGCCUGAUUAGCUUGUUGGUGGGGUAAAAGCCCACCAAGGCGACGAUCAGUAGCUGGUCUGAGAGGACGGUCGGCCACACUGGGACUGAGACACGGCCCAGACUCCUACGGGAGGAAGCAGUGGGGAAUUUUGGACAAUGGGGGCAACCCUGAUCCAGCAAUGCCGCGUGAGUGAAGAAGACCUUCGGGUUGUAAAGCUCUUUUGUCAGGGAAGAAACACCGGCUCUAACACAGUCCGGGAAUGACGGUACCUGAAGAAUAAGCACCGGCUAACUACGUGCCAGCCGCCGCGGUAA
Molecule: ribosomal RNA, 501 nt
Filed under: uncultured bacterium
Lineage: Bacteria
Description: partial 16S ribosomal RNA
Rfam family: Bacterial small subunit ribosomal RNA
Source: RNAcentral